GGCUGGUAUGAGUACAGUAGUGUUUACCACUAGUUGAUCACAACCAGUUUACAGACUUAUUUGUUCCUCCUUCACUCCCACUGCUGCACUUGACUAGCCUACA
This is an unclassified non-coding RNA of Nomascus leucogenys (northern white-cheeked gibbon), 103 nucleotides long. It matches the Rfam family "Y RNA". From Rfam's summary of the family: Y RNAs are components of the Ro ribonucleoprotein particle (Ro RNP), in association with Ro60 and La proteins. The Y RNAs and Ro60 and La proteins are well conserved, but the function of the Ro RNP is not known. The record is from Ensembl. NCBI's taxonomy places the organism in Eukaryota, Metazoa, Chordata, Mammalia, Primates, Hylobatidae.